This 1255-nucleotide ribosomal RNA is filed under the name uncultured Acinetobacter sp. RNAcentral's name for it is "bacterial SSU rRNA". It matches the Rfam family "Bacterial small subunit ribosomal RNA", at positions 77 to 1328 of the family's 1533-position model. Lineage: Bacteria; Pseudomonadati; Pseudomonadota; Gammaproteobacteria; Moraxellales; Moraxellaceae. The record is from RNAcentral.
AGCUUGCUACCUGACCUAGCGGCGGACGGGUGAGUAAUGCUUAGGAAUCUGCCUAUUAGUGGGGGACAACAUUCCGAAAGGAAUGCUAAUACCGCAUACGCCCUACGGGGGAAAGCAGGGGAUCUUCGGACCUUGCGCUAAUAGAUGAGCCUAAGUCGGAUUAGCUGGUUGGUGGGGUAAAGGCCUACCAAGGCGACGAUCUGUAGCGGGUCCGAGAGGAUGAUCCGCCACACUGGGACUGAGACACGGCCCAGACUCCUACGGGAGGCAGCAGUGGGGAAUAUUGGACAAUGGGGGGAACCCUGAUCCAGCCAUGCCGCGUGUGUGAAGAAGGCCUUAUGGUUGUAAAGCACUUUAAGCGAGGAGGAGGCUCUCUUGGUUAAUACCCAAGAUGAGUGGACGUUACUCGCAGAAUAAGCACCGGCUAACUCUGUGCCAGCAGCCGCGGUAAUACAGAGGGUGCGAGCGUUAAUCGGAUUUACUGGGCGUAAAGCGUGCGUAGGCGGCUUUUUAAGUCGGAUGUGAAAUCCCCGAGCUUAACUUGGGAAUUGCAUUCGAUACUGGGAAGCUAGAGUAUGGGAGAGGAUGGUAGAAUUCCAGGUGUAGCGGUGAAAUGCGUAGAGAUCUGGAGGAAUACCGAUGGCGAAGGCAGCCAUCUGGCCUAAUACUGACGCUGAGGUACGAAAGCAUGGGGAGCAAACAGGAUUAGAUACCCUGGUAGUCCAUGCCGUAAACGAUGUCUACUAGCCGUUGGGGCCUUUGAGGCUUUAGUGGCGCAGCUAACGCGAUAAGUAGACCGCCUGGGGAGUACGGUCGCAAGACUAAAACUCAAAUGAAUUGACGGGGGCCCGCACAAGCGGUGGAGCAUGUGGUUUAAUUCGAUGCAACGCGAAGAACCUUACCUGGUCUUGACAUAGUAAGAACUUUCCAGAGAUGGAUUGGUGCCUUCGGGAACUUACAUACAGGUGCUGCAUGGCUGUCGUCAGCUCGUGUCGUGAGAUGUUGGGUUAAGUCCCGCAACGAGCGCAACCCUUUUCCUUAUUUGCCAGCACUUCGGGUGGGAACUUUAAGGAUACUGCCAGUGACAAACUGGAGGAAGGCGGGGACGACGUCAAGUCAUCAUGGCCCUUACGACCAGGGCUACACACGUGCUACAAUGGUCGGUACAAAGGGUUGCUACCUAGCGAUAGGAUGCUAAUCUCAAAAAGCCGAUCGUAGUCCGGAUUGGAGUCUGCAACUCGACUCCAUGAAGUCG